CUACGGGGCGCACCAGUAGGGAAUAUUGGGCAAUGGGCGCAAGCCUGACCCAGCAACGCCGCGUGCGCGAAGAAGGCCUUCGGAUCGUAAGGCGCUUUUCUGAGGGAUGAGAAAGGACAGUACCUCAGGAAUAAGCCUCGGCUAACUACGUGCCAGCAGCCGCGGUAAAACGUAGGAGGCGAGCGUUAUCGGGAUUUACUGGGCGUAAGCGUGUGCAGGCGGUCUGGCAAGUUGGAUGUGAAAGCUCCCGGCUCAACUGGGAGAGGUCGUUCAAAACUACCGGACUAGAGUGUAUCAGAGGGGGAUGGAAUUCCCGGUGUAGUGGUGAAAUGCGUAGAUAUCGGGAAGAACACCAGUGGCGAAAGCGAUCUUCUGGAAUACUACUGACGCUCAGACACGAAAGCUAAGGUAGCGAACGGGAUUAGAUACCCCUGUAGUC
RNAcentral lists this ribosomal RNA (439 nucleotides) under uncultured bacterium. Its description in RNAcentral is "partial 16S ribosomal RNA". It matches the Rfam family "Bacterial small subunit ribosomal RNA", at positions 339 to 795 of the family's 1533-position model. The record is from RNAcentral.